Molecule: ribosomal RNA, 506 nt
Filed under: uncultured bacterium
Lineage: Bacteria
Description: partial 16S ribosomal RNA
Rfam family: Bacterial small subunit ribosomal RNA
Source: RNAcentral
AUUGAACGCUGGCGGCAGGCCUAACACAUGCAAGUCGAACGGCAGCACAGAACAGCUUGCUCUUUGGGUGGCGAGUGGCGGACGGGUGAGUAAUGUCUGGGAAACUGCCCGAUGGAGGGGGAUAACUACUGGAAACGGUAGCUAAUACCGCAUAACGUCGCGAGACCAAAGUGGGGGACCUUCGGGCCUCACACCAUCGGAUGUGCCCAGAUGGGAUUAGCUAGUAGGUGGGGUAAUGGCUCACCUAGGCGACGAUCCCUAGCUGGUCUGAGAGGAUGACCAGCCACACUGGAACUGAGACACGGUCCAGACUCCUACGGGAGGCAGCAGUGGGGAAUAUUGCACAAUGGGCGCAAGCCUGAUGCUGCCAUGCCGCGUGUAUGAAGAAGGCCUUCGGGUUGUAAAGUACUUUCAGCGGGGAGGAAGGCGGUGAAGUUAAUAACUUCACCGAUUGACGUUACCCGCAGAAGAAGCACCGGCUAACUCCGUGCCAGCCGCCGCCGUAA